Epinephelus fuscoguttatus (brown-marbled grouper) is the source of this 467-nucleotide long non-coding RNA. RefSeq lists it as uncharacterized. The transcript has 5 exons. NCBI's taxonomy places the organism in Eukaryota, Metazoa, Chordata, Actinopteri, Perciformes, Serranidae. The record is from RefSeq and is a predicted model, not a curated record.
CACAUCACAGAGUACAUGUUCAGCCUCUGUGACAUUUACAACAUCUGACUAUAAUCAGAAGUUGAAGUAUUCUGAGUUAUUGAAAUGUGAAGUGACAGAUGGUCACACUGAAGAAGUUCAUCAGUUCACCUUCAGCCCUCCUCAGUCCUCAGGUCAUGAUGCAACAACUGAAUCACCAUCGACAACAGGAAAUAAAUGGACGUCAGUGAAAAGGAGCACAUCAGAAGGCUGGUGGAGGUUCAUUGUUGUGUCUGUGGGUUUAGCAGCGCUCAUAAUAAGUGUUGUCACAGUCAACAUAUGGACAAGAACUAAAGGGAACAAAACACAGAUGGAUGAAAACAUGGAGCACAUUGAGGAAGAUGAAGAUGAAGUUACGGUGGACUAUGAAGACAUCAGAGACCCCUCUGCCUCUGUGUGACUCCACUGAUCAACAACAUCAACUCACCACAGAGUCCACUGCUGUUAAA